CCCGAGAUUUACAAAGCGUCGAUUUGUAUCGGAAUGGAUCGAUGAAACGCAAGGAAAGGGCUGCGAGUGAGCUGCCUGGGGAGACACCUUGAAGAGGAUGAGAGACCCUACACCGCGAUUAUGAAGCUCCCCUUGACAGAAACAGGCAGUUUGAUCCUCUGAAGAUCGACGCCAGCUGCGAUGACAUCACGAGGCUUCUAUCACAGGGGACACGGCGUCAGAUCUCGUCCUCCAGUCACCGUUGAAGUUGAGAUGAGGAGACAGGCACCGCAUGGAGUACCUGCCGAUCCUCACAGAACAGCCGGGUCGAGGCCUGGUUAGGGAAGAAAAAAGGGAGACAUUUCUCAUGCUUUGUUUUUUUAAAUUCAGUAAGAGAAGCUUUCUUCCUACAUGUCUGUUUAAUUUUAGUACACGUACUUACUCCUGGUCUUUAAAACGUACUAACCCCCCCCCAGUUAAAACCCCCGUUGCCAAGCUUUAUUUAUGAAUCUUUUUUAUCUCUCCCUGCUAUCGGUCCAAUUUUUGGGUGAUGACUAAAUACCUUGAGAACUCACCUGAGCUGCACUAUUUAGCAUCCCAGCACACUGGUAGCCAUUCCAAAUCCAAUAAUCCUAUUUUGCAGCUCCCUUGCAAUGUAUUUCUUGAGAAAACCUCACACAUUAUCUUCAAAGACGUGUUUGGUUUACACGUGGCCAACUCAUUUUCAGACACAGCCCGACUCAGUAGGGAAGCUGCUGAGCGGACUGGUCCUAUCUGCAAGGCCAGAGGCAGAAGAAGCAAGCUGCAGAACUGUAAGGAGAUAAGAGAGGACGCAGGGUGUCCACGCGAUGGCAUUUGGCUGAACUUUGCAUUUCAUUCAACCCCAACUUCAUGAGCUCUGGCAGGAAGAGUAACCCGAUAAGUGUGAAUGUGUCAAUGGGAUUUCCUCCCACUUUGUUGGUGCAUUUAUCCUUUGGUUAUCUCCUUCUCUCGCUUCUCCUAUCAUCUCCUCCAUUACGUAGGCAGAGAAGAGUCCCUCACAAGUGUGAAGGAGUCCACCGUGGCAACAUGACAGGGAAGGGACUGGGCCCCCCGUAGGCCUUACACAUCCUGCUACUGUAUUAAACAUACCAGCACUCAGCAUCAGCUGCAUAUGAACAACAAUGGGUGUCAGCAUAGCGUGACUGUGGCGUCAUGUUGAAGCAACAGUUUGACCACUUGUGGACCACACUUUGCAUGCCGAGGACUCGUUGGGAAGAUGCUGUAGUGGCUGCUCACGUUAGCAUUGCUUCCGGAACUGUGCGCGCGGGUUCAUCUGUGAAUAUGAAAUACUGAGAAUUGAUCUUGACGGAAAAUCGUUAUUGCACAAAAAAACCUAAUUAAUUAGCAUUUUUUGAGUCAUGGAACAAAGUUGGUUCGAUAGAUGUCAAACCACCUAUAAAGAAGUGCAACGUGUGUUUGACAUGUUUGACCCUGGGAAGUCACAGAGCUUUGAUGACCACAGAGGACGGGUCCUACUAAGCCCUUCUGCAUUGUUGGGCCCACACGAAGCCCAAAAAAAGCAAUCCACUAAGUGAUGUUGUUGUAGACGUAUGUGAUUAUUGGAAUAAUUAAAAAAAUGCUGACAGGGCAGUUGUUUUAAUGCUUUCUCCAGUGAUUCAUGUUGUCUUCCAUCUGCCUUCGCCUUGUUUGUAUCUACCUCCAUGCUAUUCCAAUACUACUCCACUUCCCUUUUCUCCCCUCAGUCAACACAAUGCAUCUCCCCAUUUCUCCCACAUCACCUCGCUCUCUCCCCCUCUAUUCUCCUUUUCUAUUUGUUCGUCUGUGCCUUCGAUUCCCAAACACAUCGACCUGUUUCAGAAAACGAGAAAUGGAGCACUUCAAAAGGAGCACAAAGGCAGAGCUGAGCUAAACGUCCCUCGCCACCACAAACCGGUGCCCAAGCAACAAGAAAAGAAGGCAAGUGUGUGUUUUGUGCUGGUCGUCUGUGUCCUUGCGGUGAUCCACGCGCUAAGCUUACAUGAAUGAGAAAUGACACAAGCUUCAGGGGACUGAGAUCAAUAUCGAGCUUCAUGCCGCCGUGGGGACGCGGUGCCUUUUAAAGGGAGCCUACAUGGAACCGGCUGAUCUGUGGCAACUAGGACAACAAGUGGCAAUUAAAGCUACCUUAUUGGAUUUUUGGAAAAACUUUGGGGCAGUGCAGCAGAAAUGUAGGCCCAGUGUUGACAUAUUAUCCCCUUUUUGAAGUCAAUACGGUGCAAAGAAAGCCAAUUAUCCUCCACUUUGUGAGAAUGUGGUACCGUGGCCAUUCAUUUGUAAACUGGAAUAACAACAAAUUGUCCCUUAUGAAAGAA
This is a long non-coding RNA of Pungitius pungitius (ninespine stickleback), 2333 nucleotides long. RefSeq lists it as uncharacterized. The record is from RefSeq and is a predicted model, not a curated record. The transcript has 3 exons. NCBI's taxonomy places the organism in Eukaryota, Metazoa, Chordata, Actinopteri, Perciformes, Gasterosteidae.